RNAcentral lists this transfer RNA (71 nucleotides) under Marmota marmota marmota (Alpine marmot). It matches the Rfam family "tRNA". From Rfam's summary of the family: Transfer RNA (tRNA) molecules are approximately 80 nucleotides in length. Their secondary structure includes four short double-helical elements and three loops (D, anti-codon, and T loops). RNAcentral also lists the same sequence under 1 other name. Lineage: Eukaryota; Metazoa; Chordata; Mammalia; Rodentia; Sciuridae. The record is from Rfam by way of RNAcentral.
GGAGUUGUGGCUCAAUGCUAGAGCACUUGCCUAGCAUGUGUGAGGUACUGGGUUCAAUUCUCAGCACUUUA